RNAcentral lists this ribosomal RNA (498 nucleotides) under uncultured bacterium. RNAcentral's name for it is "partial 16S ribosomal RNA". It matches the Rfam family "Bacterial small subunit ribosomal RNA", at positions 28 to 507 of the family's 1533-position model. The record is from RNAcentral.
GACGAACGCUGGCGGCGUGCCUAAUACAUGCAAGUCGAACGAGAGCGCCCGGUGCUUGCACUGGUCAAUCUAGUGGCGAACGGGUGAGUAACACGUGGGUAACCUGCCCAUCAGAGGGGGAUAACAUCCGGAAACGGAUGCUAAAACCGCAUAGGUCUUCGAACCGCAUGGUUUGAAGAGGAAAAGAGGCGCAAGCUUCUGCUGAUGGAUGUACCCGCGGUGCAUUAGCUAGUUGGUGAGGUAACGGCUCACCAAGGCCGUGAUGCAUAGCCGACCUGAGAGGGUGAUCGGCCACAUUGGGACUGAGACACGGCCCAAACUCCUACGGGAGGCAGCAGUAGGGAAUCUUCCGCAAUGGACGCAAGUCUGACGGAGCAACGCCGCGUGAGUGAAGAAGGUUUUCGGAUCGUAAAACUCUGUUGCUAGAGAAGAACAAGUGCUAGAGUAACUGUUAGCGACUUGACGGUAUCUAACCAGAAAGCCACGGCUAACUACGUG